Molecule: long non-coding RNA, 1215 nt
Organism: Mastomys coucha (southern multimammate mouse)
Lineage: Eukaryota; Metazoa; Chordata; Mammalia; Rodentia; Muridae
Exons: 3
Source: RefSeq, a predicted model, not a curated record
AGAGAGAGAGAGAGAGAGAGAGAGAGAGAGGAAUAAAGAAAGAAAGGGGGAAGGAAAGAAGGAGAGAAGGAUGGUGUUCUUGAGGUUCACUGCUUGGGGUCUGGCACAGCAGCUGGGGAGCUCAGGAGUCAUUUCUGGGAAGGCUGGAGGUGAAUAUUCCCUUUAACCCCAUGGUUCCCCCUGUAUUCAUGGUACCCCUCUUAGUGUGCAUGAAGAAAGGCUCAUGAAUGCAAUCUAUAUUGAAAAUACCAACCUGAAAACGGCCCUGCUGGAGGUCAGGUUUCCUCGGGGACAGAUCCUGGUAUGGAGAUUGUAUGCCGGGGUUUUGGGGAAGACUCUCUAGAGCAACCCCUGUGUGAGAGAUGGGAAAGCAGGAUUGGCCACGAGGAAGCCGAUCCACAGAGCGAUAGCUCAGGGGUUCUAGGUCUUCCAACACAGAGCUCAGGCAUUUGUGCUCCUCCUAAGCAGUUGUUUUUCAUGAGCUUUUCUGGGAAGGGCUGCCUGUAGGUGAGCAGCUCCCUUUGGCUGAAGGAGUGUCUAAACCCAGCUCUUUAGCUGUGUGCCAUCCUUCUGUAUGGGGCCUUGUAACCACAUGUGGGUGUGGAGAGAAACUUGGCAUGCUGAAACUUUGCUCGGCACACAAUGGCUAAAGUCCAAGUCAGAAUCAAACAUUGAAGAAGUCACAGAAGUUCUGAGAUGUGCUCACCUGUGUUACCUGGGGCCCCUUCACUGCAGCCUUGGGUCUGAACACACAGUGUAUAUACUUUAAAGUAACCGUGCACGCAUGCCGACAAUACCAAUGAUCGCUGUCUGAAAUAGCUUCCUUUAAAGGACCUCUGCUCUGCUCAGCGCUUGCUAUGCAAGCAUGAGGCCCGGAGCUUGGACUCAUAGCACAUAACGAGAAGAUAGGAAGAUGGCAUGACCAUGUGCACCUGUAAACCCUGUGCUCUGCAGGAGAGGCAGAUCCCACAUGGAAGAGGAAACUUGUGAUGAAGCCUGCCUUUCUGAGUCUGCUUACUGCAUCUGACACGAUGAGCUCUACUUCUCUCCGUCUCCUGCAAAUGACAUAAUUUCAUUCAUCAUGAAGCAAUAGAACACUGUUUGGAUUUAUACUGCAUUUCCCCUCAUCCAGCCUUCCAUGGAAGGAUGGGUUCCUAGGUUGACUCCAUAACUAAAUCAUCGUGAACAGACAUGAAUGUCUGUAUCUAUGGCGUA